RNAcentral lists this long non-coding RNA (7424 nucleotides) under Populus trichocarpa (black cottonwood). RNAcentral describes it as "long non-coding RNA (PTRI_LNC001714)". Lineage: Eukaryota; Viridiplantae; Streptophyta; Magnoliopsida; Malpighiales; Salicaceae. The record is from RNAcentral.
UGCUGUCGGUAGGGGAGUAGGGAAUUACAAUCCGAAGACUGAUACUAAGAAGUUUAACCUCGUUGAUCCUGUUGAACGGAACACAAUUGGAGUACCUUCUGGUGGAUGGGUGGCGAUAAGAUUUCGCGCCGAUAAUCCAGGUAAUUGCUGUUUAAUGUUUUCGUUUGGAAGUACAGAGCUUGGCAUUUUCAAGUUUGUUUAAUUUCAUGUUCUCUGAUUUUCUUCUUCGCAUCUCUUGUAGGAGUUUGGUUCAUGCAUUGCCAUCUAGAGGUGCACACUACAUGGGGACUUAAGAUGGCGUUCUUGGUAGACAAUGGCAAAGGCCCUAAGGAGUCUCUUCUACCGCCGCCAAGCGACCUUCCAAAAUGUUGAAGUCAGAUCAAGAACUAUACUAACUCGAGGGAUAGAAGCCAUACUUUAUCAGGAAACUUGGUCCCGGUAGAAACAUUCUAUGCUCGAAGAGAGCAGAGUGUGUAUAUAUAUAAUUUGAGGGUUAAAGAUCCGAUUUGUUUCUUGAGUGAAUUGGAAGAUUUGCUCAAGCGAGUUUGCAUAAAAUUUUGUGAGCGGUAGAGCUGUUUCAAUUCAAAUGUUAUUUUUUCUUGAAUAAAUAUAUAUAUAUUGAAGAUUUGAUCACAAAGCCAUUCAUGAUCAAUAAAACUUGUAUGCUUCUAAAUAUGUUCAUGGGUCGGGUUGGAUAAGACCUAGAUCAGGCCCGAUUAACUUUUCUAAGUUAUAUUGACCCGUAUCUGGCCAGAAUCGAUCCUUGGGCUUUCAAGCCCUUUAAGAAAUAAAAAAUAAAAAAUAAAAGCAAAAUAAUAUGUAGCAAUAGAAAUUAGUUUUUUUUUUUUUGAGACAAGUAUCGAAAUUGUUAAAGAAUAAGGAAGCAAAGUUUUAGCACGGCGAAACAAAUAUUUAUAUAACGCGGCAAUGAUUAGAAAUUCUAGCAAUGAUUGCAUUUCUUAGACCCAAAAGCUGUAUGUUUUUAAAUAUUUUUGAUAUGGUAAAGUAAGAAAUUAUUAUUUUAAUAUAUUUUAAAAUAAAAAAUUUUAAAAAUUAAUUUUUAUCACAAUCUCAAAUAAACAUUAGGUGAAAAGAAAAAAGAAAAGGAACAAUACAAACUGAAGCAUGGAGUUAGAACUUAAUUUUGUAGUUUAUUAAAAUAAAUAAAUUAAUUAUGGUUUUAACUAUAUAUUUACUCUUUUUGUUUUUAAAACCAUUUAUAACUUAAUAUUUUUCAUCCCUUUUAUGUUGUUUUUUCAAUAUAUUUAUUUUUUGUUUUAAAAACAGAAAAAAGAAAAGAAAAAGAAAAAGAUAAAUUAAGAAGAUUGAUAAAAUAGAAGAUACCUUUAUUUUUUUUCCCAAUAUGCUACGGCUAAAACUGGUUAGGAAAAUAGUGUAGCUGCAGAUGCAUUGGCACUGUUCACUAGAACAUUCUAAUGACAUCUUUGUCUUUUCCAUAAAAAAAACUUAUAACUAGUUUCUGGGAACAUGAAAGUCUUUUGACGAUGUGCAUUAGUCAUUCUUAAAUUAAUUAGGGGCAAUUAUGUCUUUUUCAAUUUAAAAAUACAGUGAAAAGACCGAAAUGCCCUUAAAAGCAAAAAAUUCAAUGCUAGCAUCAAGGGACAAUUUGAUACUUUUAAAAUUGUUUUUUUCUAUUAUUAUCAUGUAAGAUGAGGAGCAAUUUUGUAUUUGGAUAAAUAUAUAUAAAAAAUAAAAAACAUAGUGAAACGAUCAAAAUGUCCUUGGAAGUCUAAACAUAAAAAAAAAUGAUCUCAAGGGACUUUUUCCAUAGGUUUUUAUCUCAAAGCCUUCCCAAACUUCGAUUGAUAUUCAAUUUUAACUCUAUAAAAAAUAAGGUCUGUGAAAUCUUUUGGUAAAAUAUCAAUUCGAUCCAACGUUCAAAUUAAAAAUUAUGCUUGUUAGCGUAAAACUGUACAUUAGAAAAAAAAAGCCCAAAAUUACCUCUCAUUACCCAACCCUUUUAUGGACCACAUUAAUCAAGGCUUAGUCACCUUUUCUUGAAAAUUUAAAACUUGACUUGACCCAAAUAUCUUGAAUAAGCCCAUCGAAUAACUCUUCAAUCUUUUUGGUCGAAUGAUACAAGGUCAAAAUCUUUGGCUUCUCCUUCCUCAUUCUCAUCAACCAUCUCAUCAAUGAUCCUACACCUCACCAAACAUCACAUUCAUCCUCUCAAAUUGUUGUUCUAUAACCAGCAAUUUAAGAUGUCCUCCUUCUUCUUUUCAGAGGAUGCCCCGUCUUUGGAAGACAUUAUCAAAUUUAAAAUUUUACGUUAGUAAUAAAAAACAAUUAUCAUCACUCACUCCCUUAUGUGUUUACACUCUAUAAUCAACGGGUUGUAGUUGUUCAUCCAAUAGCUUCGAUUCUUUGGUUCAAGGUAAACACUAGAUCGAGUUUUUAUCUUCAAUUCGAUUUUAUCUUUUUUGGGUUGUAUUUUUUCUUGUUUAUGAGUUCACAUCACAAGAAACUAUUUUAUAAUAAACCUAAACCUAGGUUCGAGCCACAUCGUGUCGACACGUGCUUGCGUAUGGGUUUAAGUUCAAAACCCACUUUGCUUAUGUCAUUUUCCCUCUAAAAAAUUGGGUUCCUUUUGGUCUCAAUAUUAACUCUUCGCCUUCUCAUUAAAUAAGUCACAAGAAAAACUUAUUUCUUUCCAACACGGAUAGAGUUUUUAAAGGGUUUGGGUUUCACUAAAACAUGUCAAUCAAAGGUUCUUUGAGAAUAAUUUUUUAUUCAUCCAUAAUUUAAUUAAAUCAUAUUAGUGUUCUAUGUUAAAGAGCUUAUAUUGGAUAUUAAAUUCCAACAAAGUUUUAACCCCAAAAAUGAAUGGAUCCACUUUUAAUUUGGCCUCAAAUAUUUCCAUUAACCAUGUUCCAAGACAAAAUUUGCAACAAAAUGUCCCAUUAACAAAGCAGAAUGUUUUUGUUACAAUACUAAUGUCAGUAAAAAUGAGUAGAGAAUGUUGAUGAAUUUAGAUAUAACUAGUUUAUUUUCUACACUAUCAUUGUGGGUUGGAUGAAAUUUUUUUGGAACAUAAGAAAAUAAUAUAUAAACCAUAUGAAACUUUUCGGCAUUGUCAUUAAAUUAGGUGCAACAGUUCAAACUUGACAACUCUUAACAUGACUAUUUGUUUAGCUCAAGUUUUUAAUUAAAUCAUAUGAAAGUUGCUCUUAUGUGACAUUGUUUACUGGGUAGGUGCAAAGAAAAAAAAACACGUUAGGUUCAACCUAAUCAACCCACCAAACUCGUGAUCGAAGUUAUGAGCUUCACUAGGUCAAAUUAAUUUUUUUUAUUUUAUUAUAUAAUAAAAAUAUAAAUUUUUAUUUACCAUCAACACAAUACUAAAAAAUAAAAUUAAAAAGAAAAACUUCACAUUAAAAGAUAAUAUUGAAAGAAAAAAAUAAAAUAUGUAAAAAAUACUCUAAUGGUGUGCUAUGAUAAAGCCAAACACGCGGGCACGUGGGCUUGGGGAAGGCCUGCAGCUUGGGCUGUGCACAUCUUUUUUAUUUGCAAAAAAGAAGAAAAGCAACCUCUCAUCUAUCUUUUGAAAGAAUAUACUGCUAUCUGUAGCUAGGAAUCAAACCCACAACCUCCACACCUACCUCCUUGCUUACCACCACUUGAACUAUGACAAGAACUUAACCAAGCUAUUAAAAUAUAUCAACUUGAUUUUAAUAACUAAGCCAAAUCCAGCCAUUUAGUUGUUCCUUUUUACUAUUAGAUUUGAAAUCAAUGGUUUUAACAAACCAGCAUUUUAGACAUUCCCAAAACAGACGGAUGCGCAAAAGCAUUGAAUUGAAUUGAAAAUAUUGAUCGGAUCAUGCAUGGAUUUUCAUAUAAAAAAAACACAUCACCGUGGAAAGGACCUGGUGAGCACUCAUCAUUAGAAUUCAGAGCCGCAAGUAAUCCUGGGACAUCCUUUACAAGGACUACAAGUAAUGCCUUGAAAAAGAGAGUUCGGCCUACCAAACUUAACCCGUAUUGUUCUUAAAUCUACGAAGAGCACCAGGUCCUAAAAAAGAGUAGCAAAAUAAAAUAAAUUCUAAGGCAACUAAUUGAAAAUGGUGAUUAAUUAAGGUGACUUGUCCGUUGCUGAUCAAUUGACCACAUGUUCUUUUACUCUAUUUUUAUAUUGUUGUGAACCUACUUGAGUAAAUAGCAGGACAAGAGAAUGUUUUCAGGAUAAAUAUGUAGGAAGUGGGUGCCAAAUUUAAUCAUUUAAUUUACAGAUUUCCUAUGCCACCAAAUUAUCAAACUUCCAUGCAAGGUUCCUAAUUAAUAAAUGCAAAAAUUAGAAAACACAUGGUCUGCUUCCCAAACUAUGUUGAUCCAUGAACAAGACGACUUUAUGUAGCAUGUAAGAAACCUAGUAAGAUUAGGCUUCUAAUCCUUGUUUUCCAAGAAUGAACUCACCCACCUAACCUAACUGUGAAAAACGACAUGGCAGCAAUUCCCAUAUUCCCUUUAUAAGGUUGAGGUAGCCAGUCACGGAUGAAGACAACAAGCUUGAAAGCAAGAAGGAAACCAACAGCAACAGAGAGAUUGCCAAAGAAAGGUCUCGAAGUCAGCAAAUAUGGAGUACUCCAAUUUGCUCAUCCGUUUUAUGCUUCUUGCUGUCUGCCUCCUCCCCGCUUUGGUCGAGUGCAGGAUUCGGCAUUACAAGUUCAAUGUAAGUUAAAUGCUGUAGCAAGCUUCCAUGUGACGAAAGCCUGAACUGCUUGCGCUUUAGGUCAUUAGUCUCAUUCAUGUGACGAAAAUCUUCUUUGAAAUGCAUUUCGUUAUUAGAAGAUAGCCAUGUUUUGCACGAUGCAUUGCGCAUCAUGACACUGCCUUGGCUUAAAAUCAUGCAACUUUACCCAUAUCUUUUUCCUGACUAGUCCAUGAUUCAAAUGGAAAUCAUAGAGUUUCCACCUACCUAUAGCCACUAUUUUAAAUACCAGAAAAGUUUAUUCUCAUGCUUACUUUAUGGUUAAAUAAUUGCAGCAGAAAGCUCUCACUAUAUAUAUAUAUAUAUAUAUAUAUAUAUAUAUAUAUAUAUAUAUGUUCAAGAAACCAUUAAAAAAAUAUUAAAUAGGAAAAGGGUGGUAAGAUCUCAAAGCACUGUAGUGACAUAAUUUGUCACAACAAAUUAAACAAUAUGGACAGUUUAGCAUUUGAUGUAGAAAUGAGCUUAAAUAUUUCACCUAUCAUUUCAACAGGUGGUGAUGAAAAAUACUACCAGACUAUGCUCUAGGAAGCCGAUUGUUACCGUCAAUGGCCGCUUCCCAGGACCCACUCUGUAUGCCAGAGAACACGAUACAGUUCUUGUAAAAGUUGUUAACCAUGUCAAAUAUAAUGUUUCUAUUCACUGGUAAGCUAACGAAACAAACCCUGUAUAACAGUUAUACUUCAAUUCAUCAUGAAUGAUACCGAUGCGGAUUUUUCUUGGUAUUCUGCAGGCAUGGCAUUAGGCAACUAAGAACGGGCUGGGCUGAUGGACCAGCAUACAUUACACAAUGCCCCAUUCAGCCAGGGCAAAGCUAUGUCUACAAUUUCACAAUCACUGGUCAGAGGGGCACACUUCUUUGGCACGCACAUAUUCUCUGGCUAAGGGCCACAGUUCAUGGUGCCCUGGUUGUCUUGCCUAAACGCGGCAUCCCCUACCCAUUCCCAGCUCCUCAUAAAGAAGUGCUUGUUGUAUUAGGUGAGCAGGAUACAUAAUAGCUAUUUCUUUCACUAAAACUUUUGAAAUUCUGUGCAUUCCGCCAUAAUUCAAAUCUUUAAGGUUCAUGGUUAUUAAAUAUGUAACCUGAGACUAAGGUGGUGACGUGAAAUUGCAGCUGAAUGGUGGAAAUCAGAUACUGAAGCUGUGAUCAACGAGGCUCUUAAAUCUGGAUUAGCUCCAAAUGUCUCUGAUGCUCACACAAUUAACGGCCAUCCAGGAGCUGUCUCAGCUUGUUCUUCACAGGGUAUUCAACUAAGAUUAAUGACCAUAAGAUAUACCUGUGAGUUCUGGCUCUCAAUGCUUGCUUUCUAAUAGAGGUCUGAUACAGAAAGAUUUUUGGAUUCAUGCAGGCGGUUUCACAUUGCCAGUCAAAAGUGGCGAGACCUACAUGCUACGGUUGAUCAAUGCUGCACUCAAUGAAGAGCUCUUCUUCAAAAUUGCAGGGCAUAAGCUUACAGUCGUCGAAGUGGAUGCCACCUAUGUUAAACCAUUCAAAACCGAUACAGUCCUAAUUGCCCCAGGCCAGACCACCAAUGUCCUUGUCACAGCUAACAAAAAUACAGGCAAGUACUUGGUUGCUGCCUCCCCGUUCAUGGAUGCUCCAAUUGCUGUGGACAACAUGACAGCAACAGCCACUUUGCAGUAUUCAGGAGCACUUGCUAACUCCCCUACAACUCUCACCACCCCACCUCCAAAGAAUGCCACUGCAGUUGCCAACCAAUUUACCAACUCUCUACGCAGCCUUAACUCAAGAAGAUUUCCUGCCAAAGUCCCAUUGAACGUUGAUCACAACCUUUUCUUUACAGUUGGUCUAGGAGUUAACCCAUGUCCAAGUUGCAAAGCUGGUAAUGGCAGCAGGGUUGUUGCUAGUAUUAACAAUGUCACAUUUGUGAUGCCAACCACUGCCCUGCUCCAAGCACAUUUCCUCAACAUCAGCGGUGUGUUCACCACUGAUUUUCCUGCAAAGCCACCGCAUGUUUUCAAUUACACUGGCACUCCACCUACAAAUUUACAGACCAAAAGUGGAACUAAAGUUUAUAGGCUGAGCUACAACUCGACAGUCCAACUUGUUAUGCAAGAUACUGGGAUCAUAUCCCCUGAGAACCAUCCGAUCCAUUUACAUGGAUUCAAUUUCUUUGCUGUCGGUAGGGGAGUAGGGAAUUACAAUCCGAAGACUGAUACUAAGAAAUUUAACCUCGUUGAUCCUGUUGAACGGAACACAAUUGGAGUACCUUCUGGUGGAUGGGUGGCGAUAAGAUUUCGCGCCGAUAAUCCAGGUAAUUGCUGUUUAAUGUUUUCGUUUGGAAGUACAGAGCUUGGCAUUUUCAAGUUUGUUUAAUUUCAUGUUCUCUGAUUUUCUUCUUCGCAUCUCUUGUAGGAGUUUGGUUCAUGCAUUGCCAUCUAGAGGUGCACACUACAUGGGGACUUAAGAUGGCGUUCUUGGUAGACAAUGGCAAAGGCCCUAAGGAGUCUCUUCUACCGCCGCCAAGCGACCUUCCAAAAUGUUGAAGUCAGAUCAAGAACUAUACUAACUCGAGGGAUAGAAGCCAUACUUUAUCAGGAAACUUGGUCCCGGUAGAAACAUUCUAUGAUCGAAGAGAGCAGAGUGUGUAUAUAUAUAAUUUGAGGGUUUAAGAUCCGAUUUGUUUCUUGAGUGAAUUGGAAGAUUUGCUCAAGCGAGUUUUAAUAAAAUUUUGUGAGC